UAUAAUAUAGAAAAUCUGUAACUUUUGGUAGAAAUGACAAAUUCACACUACAUUAAUUUCAGUGCUUACAAAAUGUUACAAAUAAUUUGCGCAUUCUUUGCUUUCUCGUGUAGGUGCACGUGAAUUAAUCACCUAUCCAAUUUCAACAUCUUUCAAGUCAGCUUCCCCUGGACAACUCUGAAAUUAAAAGGAAAUAGGUUUGAUUUCCAUUCGCUGAGCAGAUUUGUUUUAGAUGUUUAACCAUUUAAGCCUUUGUGCGUGAACAGAAGUACAUGGGCAUUAACAGGCGUGUUCGCUGCGCAAACAUGGUGUGGGACAACAGAGUCCAUGGGUAAUUACGAAGCAGAAAGGACACCCUUCAAUCCUGAUACUCUGCAAAGUGGAGCAGCAACUGAUCCAGGGCCCAACCUAAGGCAGGUGUCCACCCGCCAAGGACAGCUGGCAGCACCAGGGCCUGGGAGAGGCAGGGAAGGGACUCCCUGGAGCUUGUGGAGGGUCAUGAUCCUGCCCGCACCGUGGCCUCAGCAUGACAGCGAGAGAGUACCGUCUGUUAUGUGGGCCCCCCGAUCAGCCCUGGGACCCAGACACAGCUGUGUCCUCACCAGAGGGGCAAACAGAGACAGAGUGAAGACGACGUGAAGAGAUGCGUGGAGAAGGGGGCCAAGAAGGCGGAGGCAGAGUCACAGCCACGGCCACGGAGCGCCACAAACCGCUGGCACCACCAGAGGCUGGGAGAGGCACGCAGGCAUCUCCAUCAGCUCCAGCCGUCAACAAACACGCACCCGAGGCUCAGACAACAGAGGCUGGCUUCUCACAGUCCGGAGGCUGCACGCUCCAAGAUUAAGGUCCCAGCCCACUCAGUUCCUGGUGAGGGCCUUCUUCCUGGCUUGGGGUAGGCACCUUCCCACUCUGUCCUCGCAUGGCAGACAGAGCCAGAGACAGAGAAGGAGAGCCAGAGACAGAGGGGUGGGGGGAGAGAAAGAGGGAGUGCCCUGGUGUCGACCUCCUCUUAUAAGGACACAAAUUCCAUCUUGGGGACUCCGCCCUCGUGACUCCCCAUAGGCCCUGCCUCCUAAG
This is a long non-coding RNA of Macaca mulatta (Rhesus monkey), 1077 nucleotides long. NCBI's taxonomy places the organism in Eukaryota, Metazoa, Chordata, Mammalia, Primates, Cercopithecidae. The record is from Ensembl.